GGCAAUAGCGAAAGAAGAGAAAUAGUAGGAAUAAGAAGUGAUCUUGAACUUGAAAUGAGUAGGCCUUUGUAAUAGCUUCUAUUGUAUCUACAAAGUACUGCACCGAGGACGCGCUGUUAAAAGCUGGACUAAGAUCGUAGAAUAUUGUGCAUGCCAGUGACCUAAAUUUACGAUCGCAGCCCUACUGCGCGUUGUACCCCAGAACAAAUUGUGCGCCACGCUAAUAUGAUCCCCGUAGAUCGAGCGCAAUAAUUAGAAAUUGAAUUCCCCUCGUGCGAGGCAUCCCAGCCGAUGAACGGCUUAUAAAAGUAUAAAUAUUAAGUAAGCCACAACCUCGCUGUUGGACCUACCGUCAGUGCAUGCAUUCCGGCCGUUGAACGGUUAUAAAGGGCAUACACGGAAAAUUUAAUCACGUCAAAAUAAACGGAUUCAAAUUUGUGGAAAACUCUGUUACUUGACCACUUC
Molecule: long non-coding RNA, 465 nt
Organism: Culex quinquefasciatus (southern house mosquito)
Lineage: Eukaryota; Metazoa; Arthropoda; Insecta; Diptera; Culicidae
Exons: 5
Source: RefSeq, a predicted model, not a curated record